AGCAGCCGCGGUAAUUCCAGCUCCAAUAGCGUAUAUUAAAGUUGUUGCAGUUAAAAAGCUCGUAGUUGAAUUUCGGGGUUAGCAGGUCGGUCGUGCCAUUGGUAUGAACUGGUCUCGCUGAUCCCUCCCUCUUGACGAACUGUGAUGCCAUUAAUUUGGUGUCGCAGGGAAUCAGGACUGUUACUUUGAAAAAAUUAGAGUGUUUAAAGCAGGCUCACGCUUGAAUACAUUAGCAUGGAAUAAUGAAAUAGGACGUUUGAUCCUAUUUUGUUGGCUUCUAGGAUUGACGUAAUGAUUAAUAGGGAUAGUUGGGGGCAUUAGUAUUCAAUUGUCAGAGGUGAAAUUCUUGGAUUUAUUGAAGACUAACUACUGCGAAAGCAUUUGCCAAGGAUGUUUUCAUUAAUCAAGAACGAAAGUUAGGGGAUCGAAGACGAUCAGAUACCGUCGUAGUCUUAACCAUAAACUAUGCCGACUAGGGAUCGGAUGAUGUUAAUUUUUUAAUGACUCAUUCGGCGCCUUA
This 520-nucleotide unclassified non-coding RNA is filed under the name uncultured Glomus. RNAcentral's name for it is "SSU rRNA". It matches the Rfam family "Eukaryotic small subunit ribosomal RNA", at positions 569 to 1090 of the family's 1831-position model. Lineage: Eukaryota; Fungi; Glomeromycota; Glomeromycetes; Glomerales; Glomeraceae. The record is from RNAcentral.